This 553-nucleotide long non-coding RNA is filed under the name Struthio camelus australis. RNAcentral describes it as "lncRNA (ENSSCUG00000015621.1)". The record is from RNAcentral. Lineage: Eukaryota; Metazoa; Chordata; Aves; Struthioniformes; Struthionidae.
GACCCAGAAAAAUACGGUACUUUGCAUGCAGUGGAAAGUAGUGACAGUACAUUCAAUUCUGGGCUGUUGCAAAGUGCAGUGUUGUACCAAAUGAGAGCCAUAGGACGGGCGUGCCAGGAUUAUAGCAGUUAAUAAUUUUUUUCCUCGCAUUGCAGGGUCUCGGACUAGCACUGAUCUGGGAACAUCUGCCAAUAGCAUACAAGAGGAAAAUGAGGCGGAGACUAACUAAUGCUCCUCAGACUACAGCCAUGGAAAGAAGAACAUGUGGGUAGAAAAAAAACAUCAGGAGAAAAGGAAAUAGACUGGACAUAGCACUUUUUCCUUUGGUCUAUUAUUCAUCACUCUAUAAAGUAAAACAAACCUUCUGAGUCAGAACUAAUUCAUUUGAAUGUUUCAAAGCAGAGUAUUUUUAAGAAUUUGAAAGUUGCUUUCUAGUUUUUUCUUUGAAAUAAUAAUUUCACUGAAGCCACCUGUUUUCAUGGAAACCUCUUGAUUUUGGUGAACUGGGAUGCCCAUUCUAGGAAUGUAGAAUUUGGUUUCAGCGCUCAUGCGA